GCUGUCCAUGGAGAGGAUUAGUGCAGUGCUCCGGAGACCAGGCUCAGAGCCCAUGAGGGCAACUUAGCACAGGGCAAGGCGCCUGCCUGGACUCUGCUGUGCGUCUCCCUGUGCAAGUGCUUCUGUCACUCGGACACUGUCUAGUGUGGGCGUCACCACAGACUAUUAAAGGGACUUCCUGACCUAGGACUGCUGGCCUGCAAAACUGUGGGCUAAAGAAAACUCUGUAUGAAGUACCCAGCGGCAAGUAUGUUGCUAUAGUAACAGAAAACUAAGCUCCAGAUGCCCUGGUACAAACAGCUCUCCGUCUCCAACCGCCAAACCUGCUCAUUGUUCAUCUUCUCACCACCAGCCAUCAAGUGGAAACCAAGGUUCAACACCGGGUCUCCAUGACACCUCUGAUCUCGCUCCUUCCAGUCAGUUGAUAGUGAUCACAUAUCACUUUAUAAUUAAAACACCAAUUGUGAGAACAGAAGUUACAGUCUCCAAAAGAGAAAUGGAACAACUUUACCAGGACAUCUAUGCCUUAUACCAAGGUAUGGAGAAUAAAGCGUCUGACAGAAGCUGAUUUAAACACCAAGGGCCUCUGACCAGACCAUCACCUCUCUCUGGGCAGGUCCUCUCAACCCAUCUGCCUUCUUCUUCUGCUUUAGCACAGGGGUUGAACCCAAGGCCUUCACACUGAGCUACAUCCCCAGCCCUUUUUAUUUUUUGAGACAGUCUCACUAAAUUGCCCAGACUGGGCUCCAGCUUGGGACCCUCCAGCCUCAGCCUCCCAGAGUGCUGGGAUCACAGGCAUGCACCCCCACGCUAGCCCCUCACCUGCUGUUUAGGAGGCCCCCCAGGUGAGCACACUAGGCUAGAGGGGCGCGAGGGUGUGACUGCUGGGUCCCAGCCUCCAGAACUGGACCAGAAAGGAGAGAUUAAACAUAUUCACAGGAACACUCACCCACGACCGGGAGGGGCACACAGAGUGUAUGUGGGGGUUUCCCUGCCUCCAUCCCCUCAAGCUGGUGUGGCCCACCUCUAAAAUGAGGUUACUCUGAGGUGGAGUCCUUUCCACAAUACAGUCUUUGGGGUGAGGCUUUCGGGAAGAAAACCGAACCCAAUCUGCCAUUCAGCACCGAAAGGGACCCACUGCUACACGGGGAGGAGCAAAGCCCCAGUCCUGAUCAGAGCAAUCCCGGGUGGAACUAGAGGGAAGCUCCAGGCACCUCAAGUCUGCCGCGAUUAAGCCGAGCCCAAGCAGGAAGGUCACCUUGCAAAUGAGUAUUUAAGGGGGCGGGUAACCAAGGCACAACAUUCAAUAGGUCUGGUUAACGAGUAACCGGAUUUCCCUUUUCCGCUGAAAUCAAGCUCAGCCUGUACCGGGGAUAGCGCCAUCCCCAGCCCCUGCUCCGUAAACGUGAAGGAGGAGCCCAGUAGGCAGAGGCGGCUCCCUCAGAAACGUCUGAAUCACAAGGCGGUGAAUCACCUGCACCCACUUUUAAGUUUCGCACACCCUGACCUUCGCUCCUGGAUUCUAGACGCUCCACACUGUAAAAGACAGAGGCGAGCGGACAGAUGUUCACAGCUCAGUGCUUCCCAGCUUUACACAAAAGCCUAGAUUCUGAUGCUGUUCCAGCUAGACCGGGUGGGGGCAGGUUUUAAGCUCACACCCCAACGCCCUCUUCCUCACUCGAGAGGACCAGAACCACACACGUCCGUCCAGUUUGUGGCUCUUUCACGAGGCCUUUAGGAAGAGGGUGAAAACAGCUGAGGCCUGCGGAUCGCGGGAAAGUCACGCCGCCCUAAGGACACCGGGUUGCGUCUCCCUCCCACGGUAGGGGCUCAGCACCCCGGAGGCCAGCAGGGGCUCUGAACACCUGCCCGGACCAACCCGGCCACGGCACCCGGCGACGCCGGCGCAGCACACCCGGGCGACACACCUGCCAGAGUGGCCGCAGAGGGAGGCUGGCGAGGGCACCGGACGCUGCCCAGGCUCGCUCCUGGCCGCUGUUCCCAGGCUGACGGCCUGCGUGCCAGAGACCAGUGGCCACCAGUGUGCGCUUCGGGUGACGCGAAAGAAGGGGCUGAAACCCCGGGGCCACCGGGGAAUGUCACCCCUAACCACAGCACCGUAGGAAGCUGAGGCAGGAGAAUCUCAACCCGGGUGUCCUUAGG
Molecule: long non-coding RNA, 2163 nt
Organism: Chinchilla lanigera (long-tailed chinchilla)
Lineage: Eukaryota; Metazoa; Chordata; Mammalia; Rodentia; Chinchillidae
Source: Ensembl